RNAcentral lists this ribosomal RNA (119 nucleotides) under Aotus nancymaae (Ma's night monkey). The record is from RNAcentral. Lineage: Eukaryota; Metazoa; Chordata; Mammalia; Primates; Aotidae.
GUCUAUGGCCAUACCACCCUGAACACACCCAAUCUCAUCUGAUCUCAGAAGCUAAGUAGGGUCGGACCUGGUUAGUACUUGGAUGGGAGACCACCUGGGACUACCAGGUGCUGUGGGCU